This 612-nucleotide ribosomal RNA is filed under the name fungal sp. MAY-2012. RNAcentral describes it as "eukaryotic LSU rRNA". The stretch from base 216 to 370 matches the Rfam family "5.8S ribosomal RNA". The record is from RNAcentral. Lineage: Eukaryota; Fungi.
CUUGGGCAUUUAGAGGAAGUAAAAGUCGUAACAAGGUUUCCGUAGGUGAACCUGCGGAAGGAUCAUCAACAAAAGGGAAAAAUGCGUGGCGGGCGCAAGCCCGUUUCACGUUCAUUCCCGAAAAUCCUGUAUUCACCCCAAGUUCCUUAAAAAUUUUAAUAAAAAACUCUGCAAAAGACCACCUAUGAUCAGGUGGCAUCUAAUGCAAAAGCGAAAACUUUCAACAACGGAUCUCUUGGCUCUCGCAUCGAUGAAGAACGCAGCGAAAUGCGAUAAGUAGUGUGAAUUGCAGACUAGAGUGAAUCAUCGAAUUUUUGAACGCAUAUUGCGCUCUCUGGUAAUUCCGGGGAGCAUGCUUGGCUGAGGGCCUGUAAAACAAAUCUCCGGAGGGUAACCUUCUGGUGGUCGAUGGGUGUCAAUCCGAUGAAGACUCCUUUUUGGGGGAACGAAUCGGUCACCUGAAAUAAUUGGCUCCGCUGGAUCGCGGAUCGUGCAGUAAGGCAUAAUGGAAGAGCGGUAACACGCCUUCAAAAACGUCACACUUACACGAAAUGCGACAGAAGCGAGAAGCCAUGUUUUGGCAUUUUUUGCCAAAUGCGUCCAUGGCGCAAA